AUCAUGGCUCAGAUUGAACGCUGGCGGCAGGCCUAACACAUGCAAGUCGAGCGGUAGCACAGAGAGCUUGCUCUCGGGUGACGAGCGGCGGACGGGUGAGUAAUGUCUGGGAAACUGCCUGAUGGAGGGGGAUAACUACUGGAAACGGUAGCUAAUACCGCAUAAUGUCGCAAGACCAAAGAGGGGGACCUUCGGGCCUCUUGCCAUCAGAUGUGCCCAGAUGGGAUUAGCUAGUAGGUGGGGUAACGGCUCACCUAGGCGACGAUCCCUAGCUGGUCUGAGAGGAUGACCAGCCACACUGGAACUGAGACACGGUCCAGACUCCUACGGGAGGCAGCAGUGGGGAAUAUUGCACAAUGGGCGCAAGCCUGAUGCAGCCAUGCCGCGUGUAUGAAGAAGGCCUUCGGGUUGUAAAGUACUUUCAGCGGGGAGGAAGGCGAUAAGGUUAAUAACCUUGUCGAUUGACGUUACCCGCAGAAGAAGCACCGGCUAACUCCGUGCCAGCAGCCGCGGUAAUACGGAGGGUGCAAGCGUUAAUCGGAAUUACUGGGCGUAAAGCGCACGCAGGCGGUCUGUCAAGUCGGAUGUGAAAUCCCCGGGCUCAACCUGGGAACUGCAUUCGAAACUGGCAGGCUAGAGUCUUGUAGAGGGGGGUAGAAUUCCAGGUGUAGCGGUGAAAUGCGUAGAGAUCUGGAGGAAUACCGGUGGCGAAGGCGGCCCCCUGGACAAAGACUGACGCUCAGGUGCGAAAGCGUGGGGAGCAAACAGGAUUAGAUACCCUGGUAGUCCACGCCGUAAACGAUGUCGACUUGGAGGUUGUGCCCUUGAGGCGUGGCUUCCGGAGCUAACGCGUUAAGUCGACCGCCUGGGGAGUACGGCCGCAAGGUUAAAACUCAAAUGAAUUGACGGGGGCCCGCACAAGCGGUGGAGCAUGUGGUUUAAUUCGAUGCAACGCGAAGAACCUUACCUACUCUUGACAUCCAGAGAACUUUCCAGAGAUGGAUUGGUGCCUUCGGGAACUCUGAGACAGGUGCUGCAUGGCUGUCGUCAGCUCGUGUUGUGAAAUGUUGGGUUAAGUCCCGCAACGAGCGCAACCCUUAUCCUUUGUUGCCAGCGGUCCGGCCGGGAACUCAAAGGAGACUGCCAGUGAUAAACUGGAGGAAGGUGGGGAUGACGUCAAGUCAUCAUGGCCCUUACGAGUAGGGCUACACACGUGCUACAAUGGCGCAUACAAAGAGAAGCGACCUCGCGAGAGCAAGCGGACCUCAUAAAGUGCGUCGUAGUCCGGAUUGGAGUCUGCAACUCGACUCCAUGAAGUCGGAAUCGCUAGUAAUCGUAGAUCAGAAUGCUACGGUGAAUACGUUCCCGGGCCUUGUACACACCGCCCGUCACACCAUGGGAGUGGGUUGCAAAAGAAGUAGGUAGCUUAACCUUCGGGAGGGCGCUUACCACUUUGUGAUUCAUGACUGGGGUGAAGUCGUAACAAGGUAACCGUAAAUCGAAUUCCCGC
RNAcentral lists this ribosomal RNA (1510 nucleotides) under Klebsiella aerogenes. RNAcentral's name for it is "bacterial SSU rRNA". It matches the Rfam family "Bacterial small subunit ribosomal RNA". The record is from RNAcentral. Lineage: Bacteria; Pseudomonadati; Pseudomonadota; Gammaproteobacteria; Enterobacterales; Enterobacteriaceae.